GAUGAACGCUGGCGGCGUGCCUAAUACAUGCAAGUCGAGCGAACGGACGAGAAGCUUGCUUCUCUGAUGUUAGCGGCGGACGGGUGAGUAACACGUGGAUAACCUACCUAUAAGACUGGGAUAACUUCGGGAAACCGGAGCUAAUACCGGAUAAUAUUUUGAACCGCAUGGUUCAAAAGUGAAAGACGGUCUUGCUGUCACUUAUAGAUGGAUCCGCGCUGCAUUAGCUAGUUGGUAAGGUAACGGCUUACCAAGGCAACGAUGCAUAGCCGACCUGAGAGGGUGAUCGGCCACACUGGAACUGAGACACGGUCCGGACUCCUACGGGAGGCAGCAGUAGGGAAUCUUCCGCAAUGGACGAAAGCCUGACGGAGCAACGCCGCGUGAGUGAUGAAGGUCUUCGGAUCGUAAAACUCUGUUAUUAGGGAAGAACAUAUGUGUAAGUAACUGUGCACAUCUUGACGGUACCUAAUCAGAAAGCCACGGCUAACUACGUG
This 497-nucleotide ribosomal RNA is filed under the name uncultured bacterium. Its description in RNAcentral is "partial 16S ribosomal RNA". It matches the Rfam family "Bacterial small subunit ribosomal RNA", at positions 28 to 507 of the family's 1533-position model. The record is from RNAcentral.